Molecule: long non-coding RNA, 535 nt
Organism: Heterocephalus glaber (naked mole-rat)
Lineage: Eukaryota; Metazoa; Chordata; Mammalia; Rodentia; Bathyergidae
Source: RefSeq, a predicted model, not a curated record
GCACUGAGAUCUUCUGAACAAAGAACCAGCCCCAGGGCCCCUGUGAAGGAGGGGGUGUUUUGCCAAUGAGUCAGGGGUUCCAGGGCUGCGGACACUGUUGGAAAUGGAAAGUGUGUGCUGCACAACUAACUCAUCAGUUAAGAGUGCUUAAUGCCAUUUUCCAGGAGAGGAAACAGGCACGGGGACAUUAAGUGACUUGGCUGAGACCACAGAGCUGUGCUGGAGAUUGAAUGCAGCGCCUUGUGCAUGUUACAAAAGUGCUGUACCACUGAGCAACAUCCUCAGGCCAAAAUGGGUGUAUUUAACUCUUCAGAGUGACAUAAUUGAAACACAGGAUGGCAAAAUCAAGAGUCGAGGUCAAAACAGACCUGCCUGCAGUCCUAGCUACUCAGCAGGCUGACGUGGGAAGAUCACUUGAGUCCAGAGGCCAGCCCUGGGCAGUACGGUGGAUAAAAAGUGAUGCUAAACUAGGCAUGGUGGAACACACCUAUAAUCCCAACACUCGGGAGGCUGAAGCAAGAGGAUCACAAGUUUG